UCGACUAGGUGUUCGGUGAGGAGACUCAUUGAGUACCGCAGCUAACGCGUGAAGUCGACCGCCUGGGGAGUACGGUCGCAAGAUUAAAACUCAAAGGAAUUGACGGGGACCCGCACAAGCGGUGGAUGAUGUGGAUUAAUUCGAUGCAACGCGAAAAACCUUACCUACCCUUGACAUGUACGGAACCCUGCUGAGAGGUGGGGGUGCUCGAAAGAGAGCCGUAACACAGGUGCUGCAUGGCUGUCGUCAG
This 250-nucleotide ribosomal RNA is filed under the name uncultured bacterium. RNAcentral describes it as "partial 16S ribosomal RNA". It matches the Rfam family "Bacterial small subunit ribosomal RNA", at positions 812 to 1058 of the family's 1533-position model. The record is from RNAcentral.